UCAGUUUUAGUAUAAAUCUAUUACGAAGGUCUUGUAAACCUUAAAUCUGUGGACUCAUGGAAACUGAA
RNAcentral lists this transfer RNA (68 nucleotides) under Magallana belcheri. RNAcentral describes it as "Crassostrea belcheri tRNA-Thr". The record is from RNAcentral. Lineage: Eukaryota; Metazoa; Mollusca; Bivalvia; Ostreida; Ostreidae.